UAUAAUAAUAUUUAAAAAAAGCUAGUCGAUCGCUAACUGUUAUGAGCCGUUACGGAAUAACCAUCGGAAUUCUCUUUAAACACAAUUGAUACUAAAUAUGGCUGAGCUUUAAAUAAAUAUUAAUUAAUCAUUUAUAUUUCAACAAAUAAAUACGUAUUCUGAUUACGUAAAAUGAGUACAAUGUUUAAAAUUAAAUCUAAUAAACUAAAAUUGAUUUUGUUAUUUUAAAAUGUCAUACACUUUACCAUGUUUUUUGAAAUUGUCGGUAGUUUUUUCUUACGAUCCAAGAAACUAAUGAACAGAAGUUUAUUAAAUUACCUCAUCAAAAUGCCAACUAAGCAACAUUUCCGAGCAAAAGAUAGGGCCACAACUUACAUAAAACUUACCGAGUACUCUUUCAAUAAGGAGCAAUAAAGAUAAACAAAACUAAACAAAACAUUGUAAAAGCAUUUUUAAUUUUACAUUAAAAAACAUAAUAUAAUUGAUUGUAAAACUAAUAUACAUUUUUGUACCACCAAACAUUUUGUAACUUAUAAUUAUGAACCAUAAAUAAUAUUUUAGUGUUUUGAAUAUAUUUAAAAUAAACAAGACUUUAUGGGAUAGUUUAAAAAUAAGUAAAAUAAGUAAAAUAACAAAAUAUAAAAAAAUACAAUUAUUCAUGAAAACACAGAAGUAAUAUUAUUUACAAGUUACAACACAUGUUUUGAAACAUUUCUCAUUUUUUAGUGUACGUGAAAUAUGAACAUUCAAAAUGUAUUUAACAAUAUGUAUAUUACAUUUUACAACAACGUAAAUUUGAAGUUUUAAUAUUUAACUAUAAAUUAUUCAAUCAAAUUUUUUGAAAUAACCGAGUGUAAUAAACAACGGAAGGUAAUAAAUGUCAGAGACACAAGGAAAUACCAUUAAUUGUAUUCAUAUUAAUGCAUAUUUUCAUUUUAAAAAUUUAUUUUUUGUCAUUAAAUAUACAUAAUAUUAUAAUAAUAUGUGCGUAUAGUAAUUACAAAGAGACCAUAACAUUUUAAUAACUUUUUUUUUCUUCAUAAUUAUGCAGUGAUUUUCUUUUGAAAAUGUAAUUUAUACAAACAUUUCAAUUUAAUAUCUAUAAUAUGUUUCGGUAAAUAAUAAAACAAAUUAUAUAGGUAGGUACACUAUAAUUAUACUUUUGAUGCUGUAUCGUAUUCAUAUUCCGGAAGUUAUGAGUUUAAAUAUUAAAAAUAAAGAAUACGAAAUAAGUAACUCCUCAAAAAUAUCUUUUACAGUGGCGUCUUAAUCGCAGUUGUAAGUACACAGAUUAAACUACGUAAAAAGAAAAAAAAGCACAUCGUUUGGCUCAUAGUUUAAGACAGACAUGAAUAUCAGCUAUAAGUUAACUCAAAUUUUAUUCAAAUAUUCUAUGGUAGAAUUCGUCUUGUGAAAAAAAAUUAGACAACUGCUGGCGUGUCUUUUGCAAUUUAUGCAAAUAAAAAACAUGUCUAAAUCGUUAAUCUGCUUCUGUGAUCUCAGUAGGUACCUAUGCAUUCUGUUUUUUUUUCACUUUUUAUACUUCUGGCAACUAUUGUAACGCGUAUAUAUAUAUACAGGGUGAUUCAAAAUUUAUGUUACAGCCAUUUUAACAUAUAAAUAUUCAAAUUAGAGAAAAAUGUAUGAUAAAAAAGUUUUUUGAUUUAGAAACAUCUAUUAUGAUUUCACAAUUUUGUAAUUGUUAACAACAUUUUAGGGGGGUUUUGGGGGGUCAACUUUAUAAAUUCAAAUAGAAACCUAUAAUGUUUUUGCAAUCAUAAUGUGGGGGAAUUUUUUUAAUGAAUUUUAGUGAAUGAACAACAUUGAUUAAUGCAAAGCUCUAUGCUUGAGAGGUAUUCAAAGUUUUAGAAAUUGCGUUUUAAAUGCUUAACCACACAACGCACGCCGACAGGUAGCAAAAUAAAUGGUGUUCUCAUUUAUUGCUAUCAUACGAUUCGCAUUUCUUCCGCAAACCCGUAUAUCAGAAUAAAAUUAAUCAUAAUUAUAAUUUGUUUGUCAACGUUUAACCCCAAAUACCAAAUAUGUAUGCAGGAGUGCAAGGGUUGACCUGGGGUACUCCGUGAACCCAGCCAAAAUAAUGUUUCGGAUCUCUGUUUAAAAAAAAUACUUAAAUCCAUAUUAAGUAUUGCAAAUUAUAUUUUCCUUAAAAAAAACCCUAGUCUUUAAUACAUUUUCCACUAGACUUAAAAUUGACAUUAAUUAAUAAACUAAUAAUAGUUUUCCUCGUCAUAUGAACAUUUAAAAUUGCAAUGGAUCAAAACGUAUAAAAUAAAAAAUAUUUUAAUCAAUAUUUUAUUUUGCUGUUACUAAUUGAUUGAAAUACCGUUUAUUUAUAGUAAAGAAAUAUGACAUCGAUAACAAUGUUUGAUCUUAUCGAAUAAUAGCCUAUUUAGUACCUACAUACAUACAUGUACCCGUUUGGAGAUAAUCUGUACAUUUACAAUCCGUAUAUGUAUGUAUUUCUUAACCAUUGCGUUUUAUAAACUCAAACCGAUUUCAUUCGAUUUUAUUAGAAUUUAUACAUAUUUUCUAAUAUUUCGUUAGUCUUUAAAAGUUUUUUAUUUUUAAAAUGUUUGCGGCAUAUGUUUCCAAUAACCCGACUUUUACUGGGUCCGAAUUGGAUUAUUAUAAAAUGGUAGCAGAAGCCGCCGAGUUAAUUGUCAUUGAAAAUGAGGAAUUAAAGCAAAAAAAUUAUGAACUUAUUUCCAAGUCAACUGUAUUUUUAAAUGAAAAUGAGGCAUACGCUGAAGAGGUCAGCAAGUUGGAAUUGGAAUAAAAAGAACUUAAAAAAGAAAAUUUAGAGUUACGCAAUCAAAUAAAUAUAUUGGAAAAGAAUAUAAUUUUUGAAAAAGAACAGGUAGUAGACUCUUUGAAGGACACAAAUAUCGAACCAAUAAUUAAAAAUUCGAUAAUCCUAAUUAAUAAAAUGGUCAGCGAUAAGAUGAACCAAAUUGAGGAUCAAGUUUGUGCUAAGUUUGAAAAUUUGAAUUAAAAUUUAAUAAAAUUUCAAAAUAUAAUUUAGAACUUGUGUAAUUGAA
This is a long non-coding RNA of Metopolophium dirhodum (rose-grain aphid), 3059 nucleotides long. RefSeq lists it as uncharacterized. The transcript is spliced from 4 exons. Lineage: Eukaryota; Metazoa; Arthropoda; Insecta; Hemiptera; Aphididae. The record is from RefSeq and is a predicted model, not a curated record.